This 446-nucleotide ribosomal RNA is filed under the name uncultured bacterium. RNAcentral's name for it is "SSU rRNA". It matches the Rfam family "Bacterial small subunit ribosomal RNA", at positions 26 to 518 of the family's 1533-position model. The record is from RNAcentral.
AGAGCGAACGCUGGCGGCAGGCCUAACACAUGCAAGUCGAGCGCCCGUAGCAAUACGGGAGCGGCAGACGGGAUAGUAACACGUGGGAACGCGCCCUUCGGUUCGGAAUAACUCAGGGAAACUUGAGCUAAUACCGGAUACGCCCUUACGGGGAAAGAUUUAUUGCCGAAGGAACGGCCCGCGUCCGAUUAGCUAGUUGGUGAGGUAAUGGCUCACCAAGGCGACGAUCGGUAGCUGGUCUGAGAGGAUGACCAGCAUCACUGGGACUGAGACACGGCCCAGACUCCUACGGGAGGCAGCAGUGGGGAAUAUUGGACAAUGGGCGCAAGCCUGAUCCAGCCAUGCCGCGUGGAUGAUGAAGGCCUUAGGGUUGUAAAGUCCUUUUAACGGGGAAGAUAAUGACGGUACCCGUAGAAUAAGCCCGGCUAACUCGUGCCAGCAGCCGC